UACGGAGGAUGCGAGCGUUAUCCGGAUUUAUUGGGUUUAAAGGGUGCGUAGGCGGCCAUUUAAGUCAGCGGUGAAAUUUUGCGGCUUAACUGUAACAGUGCCGUUGAUACUGUUUGGCUAGGAUUUGGUUGUAGUGUGCGGAAUGUGUGGUGUAGCGGUGAAAUGCUUAGAUAUCACACAGAACACCGAUUGCGAAGGCAGCACACUAAGUCAUUAUUGACGCUGAGGCACGAAAGUGUGGGGAUCAAACAGGAUUAGA
This 259-nucleotide ribosomal RNA is filed under the name uncultured prokaryote. Its description in RNAcentral is "partial 16S ribosomal RNA". It matches the Rfam family "Bacterial small subunit ribosomal RNA", at positions 524 to 782 of the family's 1533-position model. The record is from RNAcentral.